GGGAAUAUUGCGCAAUGGGGGCAACCCUGACGCAGCAACGCCGCGUGAUUGAAGAAGGCCUUCGGGUUGUAAAGAUCUUUAAUCGGGGACGAAUUUUGACGGUACCCGAAGAAUAAGCUCCGGCUAACUACGUGCCAGCAGCCGCGGUAAUACGUAGGGAGCAAGCGUUAUCCGGAUUUACUGGGUGUAAAGGGCGUGUAGGCGGGCAUGCAAGCCAGAAGUGAAAUCUGGGGGCUUAACCCCCAAACUGCUUUUGGAACUGCGUGUCUUGAGUGAUGGAGAGGCAGGCGGAAUUCCCAGUGUAGCGGUGAAAUGCGUAGAUAUUGGGAGGAACACCAGUGGCGAAGGCGGCCUGCUGGACAUUAACUGACGCUGAGGCGCGAAAGCGUGGGGAGCAAAC
This 400-nucleotide ribosomal RNA is filed under the name uncultured bacterium. Its description in RNAcentral is "bacterial SSU rRNA". It matches the Rfam family "Bacterial small subunit ribosomal RNA", at positions 357 to 773 of the family's 1533-position model. The record is from RNAcentral.